RNAcentral lists this transfer RNA (71 nucleotides) under Eleginus gracilis (saffron cod). Its description in RNAcentral is "tRNA-Thr". It matches the Rfam family "tRNA". From Rfam's summary of the family: Transfer RNA (tRNA) molecules are approximately 80 nucleotides in length. Their secondary structure includes four short double-helical elements and three loops (D, anti-codon, and T loops). The record is from RNAcentral. Lineage: Eukaryota; Metazoa; Chordata; Actinopteri; Gadiformes; Gadidae. RNAcentral also lists the same sequence under 2 other names.
GCCCUAGUAGCUCAGUACAGAGCGCCGGCCUUGUAAGCCGGAGGCCGGGGGCUAAAUUCCUCCCUAGUGCU